Molecule: ribosomal RNA, 446 nt
Filed under: uncultured bacterium
Lineage: Bacteria
Description: bacterial SSU rRNA
Rfam family: Bacterial small subunit ribosomal RNA
Source: RNAcentral
ACCAGACUCCUACGGGAGGCAGCAGUGGGGAAUAUUGCACAAUGGGGGAAACCCUGAUGCAGCAACGCCGCGUGAGUGAAGAAGUAUUUCGGUAUGUAAAGCCCUAUCAGCAGGGAAGAAAAUGACGGUACCUGAUUAAGAAGCCCCGGCUAACUACGUGCCAGCAGCCGCGGUAAUACGUAGGGGGCAAGCGUUAUCCGGAUUUACUGGGUGUAAAGGGAGCGUAGACGGCAUUGCAAGUCCGGAGUGAAAGCCUACGGCCCAACCGUGGGACUGCUCUGGAAACUGUAGAGCUGGAGUGCGGGAGGGGCAGGCGGAAUUCCUAGUGUAGCGGUGAAAUGCGUAGAUAUUAGGAGGAACACCGGCGGCGAAGGCGGCCUGCUGGACCGUAACUGACGUUGAGGCUCGAAAGCGUGGGGAGCAAACAGGAUUAGAUACCCCGGUAA